AUUGAACGCUGGCGGCAUGCCUUACACAUGCAAGUCGAACGGUAACGGGCCUUCGGGUGCCGACGAGUGGCGAACGGGGGAGUAAUACAUCGGAACGUGCCCGAUCGUGGGGGAUAACGAGGCGAAAGCUUUGCUAAUACCGCAUACGAUCUACGGAUGACAGCAGGGGACCGCAAGGCCUUGCGCGGACGGAGCGGCCGAUGGCAGAUUAGGUCGUUGGUGGGAUAAAAGCUUACCAAGCCGACGAUCUGUAGCUGGUCUGAGAGGAUGAUCAGCCACACUGGAACUGAGACACGGCCCAGACUCCUACGGGAGGCAGCAGUGGGGAAUUUUGGACAAUGGGCGCAAGCCUGAUCCAGCCAUGCCGCGUGCAGGAUGAAGGCCUUCGGGUUGUAAACUGCUUUUGUACGGAACGAAAAGCCUUCUUUUAAUACAGGAGGGUCAUGACGGUACCGUAAGAAUAAGCACCGGCUAACUACGUG
This 482-nucleotide ribosomal RNA is filed under the name uncultured bacterium. Its description in RNAcentral is "partial 16S ribosomal RNA". It matches the Rfam family "Bacterial small subunit ribosomal RNA", at positions 30 to 507 of the family's 1533-position model. The record is from RNAcentral.